GGGGAAUAUUGGGCAAUGGACGCAAGUCUGACCCAGCAACGCCGCGUGAAGGAAGAAGGCUUUCGGGUUGUAAACUUCUUUUAAGGGGGAAGAGUAGAAGACGGUACCCCUUGAAUAAGCCACGGCUAACUACGUGCCAGCAGCCGCGGUAAUACGUAGGGGGCUAGCGUUAUCCGGAUUUACUGGGCGUAAAGGGUGCGUAGGUGGUUUCUUAAGUCAGAUGUGAAAUCUGGGGGCUCAACCUCCAAACUGCAUUUGAAACUACUUUUCUUGAGUAUCGGAGAGGUAAUCGGAAUUCCUGGUGUAGCGGUGAAAUGCGUAGAUAUAAGGAAGAACACCAGUGGCGAAGGCGGAUUACUGGACGACAACUGACGGUGAGGCGCGAAAGCGUGGGGAGCAAACA
This 403-nucleotide ribosomal RNA is filed under the name uncultured Oscillibacter sp. RNAcentral's name for it is "bacterial SSU rRNA". It matches the Rfam family "Bacterial small subunit ribosomal RNA", at positions 356 to 774 of the family's 1533-position model. Lineage: Bacteria; Bacillati; Bacillota; Clostridia; Eubacteriales; Oscillospiraceae. The record is from RNAcentral.